Molecule: ribosomal RNA, 253 nt
Filed under: uncultured bacterium
Lineage: Bacteria
Description: partial 16S ribosomal RNA
Rfam family: Bacterial small subunit ribosomal RNA
Source: RNAcentral
UACAGAGGGGGCAAGCGUUGUUCGGAAUUACUGGGCGUAAAGGGCGCGUAGGCGGUUCGUUAAGUCUUGUGUGAAAUCCCCCGGCUCAACUAGGGAACUGCACAGGAAACUAGCGGGCUUGAGUUCGGGAGAGGGAAGCGGAAUUCCGGGUGUAGCGGUGAAAUGCGUAGAUAUCCGGAGGAAAACCGGUGGGAAGGCCGGUUUCCUGGCGCAACACUGACGCUGAGGCGCGAAAGCUAGGGGAGCAAACGGG